This 223-nucleotide ribosomal RNA is filed under the name uncultured bacterium. Its description in RNAcentral is "partial 16S ribosomal RNA". It matches the Rfam family "Bacterial small subunit ribosomal RNA", at positions 119 to 334 of the family's 1533-position model. The record is from RNAcentral.
GAGCAACCUACCUUUCGGCGGGGGAUAGCCGGCCUAACGGCCGGGUAAUACCGCGUAUCGCGCCGGAGCUGCAUGGCUCUGGUGUGAAAGCGGCCGCAAGGUCGCGCCGGUCGAGGGGCUCGCGUCCUAUCAGCUUGUUGGUGGGGUAACGGCUCACCAAGGCUACGACGGGUAGCUGGUCUGAGAGGAUGAUCAGCCACAUUGGGACUGAGAUACGGCCCAG